This 392-nucleotide ribosomal RNA is filed under the name uncultured bacterium. RNAcentral describes it as "partial 16S ribosomal RNA". It matches the Rfam family "Bacterial small subunit ribosomal RNA", at positions 523 to 918 of the family's 1533-position model. The record is from RNAcentral.
ACACGUAGGGGCCUGACGUUGUUCGGAAUCAUUGGGCGUAAAGGGCGCGCAGGCGGCCGUCCAAGUCCGGUGUUAAAUGGUCGGGCUCAACCCGAUCAUGCGCUGGAAACUGGGCGGCUUGAGUCCCGUAGGGGAUGCCGGAAUUCCAGGUGUAGGGGUGAAAUCUGUAGAUAUCUGGAAGAACACCGAUGGCGAAGGCAGGCAUCUGGCCGGAGACUGACGCUGAGGCGCGAAGGCGCGGGGAGCGAACAGGUUUAGACACCCUGGUAGUCCGCGCAGUAAACGAUGCGCACCAGGUGUCGGGCGGCAGCGCCCGGUACCGGAGCUAACGCGAUGAGUGCGCCGCCUGGGGAGUAUGCCCGCAAGGGUGAAACUCAAAGGAAUUGACGGGG